CAAGAAGGAGCAUUUCCCUGUUGUCCCUCUUCCCUUUUUAUCUUUUGCAGUGCUGCUGAUGGAAGCCGGGGCCUCACACAUGCUAGAUAAGAGCUUUCCUACCGAGCUACAGCUGGAGCUUAAUAUGCUGCCUUGAAAUGUUACAGGCACACACCCUCAGGGAGCAGCUCUCCUUCUUCCCAAGUAUCUGUUAAUCAUCAGUGUGUGACUGCAGAGUACGUGACUGCUGACCACCAGCUCAAGUCAGCAGACCUUUGUCCCCUGCCUGCAAGCUUAAAAUGUUAACCCCCCUAUUUACCCCCCUAUAAAAUGGACCUCAGCCCCUGAGCUGGUGCCUCUCUGAGUUGCUCAGUUCUGAGUGCUGUCUGGCCAGACUAAUAAAGGUCUGUUUACCAACAAGCCUGGUGUGUUCC
RNAcentral lists this long non-coding RNA (413 nucleotides) under Fukomys damarensis (Damara mole-rat). Its description in RNAcentral is "lncRNA (ENSFDAG00000022318.1)". Lineage: Eukaryota; Metazoa; Chordata; Mammalia; Rodentia; Bathyergidae. The record is from RNAcentral.